Molecule: ribosomal RNA, 506 nt
Filed under: uncultured bacterium
Lineage: Bacteria
Description: partial 16S ribosomal RNA
Rfam family: Bacterial small subunit ribosomal RNA
Source: RNAcentral
GAUGAACGCUAGCGGUGCGCCUAACACAUGCAAGUCGAACGGCAGCACAGGAGAGCUUGCUCUCUGGGUGGCGAGUGGCGGACGGGUGAGGAAUACAUCGGAAUCUACUCUGUCGUGGGGGAUAACGUAGGGAAACUUACGCUAAUACCGCAUACGACCUACGGGUGAAAGCAGGGGAUCUUCGGGCCUUGCGCGAUUGAAUGAGCCGAUGUCGGAUUAGCUAGUUGGCGGGGUAAAGGCCCACCAAGGCGACGAUCCGUAGCUGGUCUGAGAGGAUGAGCAGCCACACUGGAACUGAGACACGGUCCAGACUCCUACGGGAGGCAGCAGUGGGGAAUAUUGGACAAUGGGCGCAAGCCUGAUCCAGCCAUACCGCGUGGGUGAAGAAGGCCUUCGGGUUGUAAAGCCCUUUUGUUGGGAAAGAAAUCCAGCUGGCUAAUACCCGGUUGGGAUGACGGUACCCAAAGAAUAAGCACCGGCUAACUUCGUGCCAGCCGCCGCCGUAA